RNAcentral lists this ribosomal RNA (914 nucleotides) under uncultured archaeon. RNAcentral's name for it is "bacterial SSU rRNA". It matches the Rfam family "Archaeal small subunit ribosomal RNA", at positions 4 to 922 of the family's 1478-position model. The record is from RNAcentral.
CCGGUUGAUCCUGCCAGAGGCUACUGCUAUCGGGGUCCGACUAAGCCAUGCGAGUUGAGAGGGGUAAGCCCUCGGCAUAUUGCUCAGUAACACGCGGAUAACCUGCCCUUGGGUUUGGGAUAACCCCGGGAAACUGGGACUAAUACCGGAUAGAUCAAAGAAACUGGAAUGUUCUCUGAUCGAAAGCUCCGGCGCCCAAGGAUGGGUCUGCGGCCUAUCAGGUAGUAGUGGGUGUAACGUACCUACUAGCCUACGACGGGUAAGGGUUGUGAGAGCAAGAGCCCUGAGAUGGAUUCUGAGACAUGAAUCCAGGCCCUACGGGGUGCAGCAGGCGCGAAAACUUUACACUGCGGGAAACCGCGAUAAGGGGACCCCGAGUGCCAGCACCUAGUGCUGGCUGUCCAGCUGUUCAAAUAACAGUUGUUAGCAAGGGCCGGGCAAGACCGGUGCCAGCCGCCGCGGUAACACCGGCGGCCCGAGUGGUAGCCGUUAUUAUUGGGUUUAAAGGGUCCGUAGCCGGCCUAUUAAGUCUCUUGGGAAAUCUGGCGACUCAAUCGUCAGGCGUUCAAGAGAUACUGGUAGGCUUGGGACCGGGAGAGGUGGGAGGUACUCCAGGGGUAGGGGUGAAAUCUCGUAAUCCUUGGGGGACCACCGAUGGCGAAGGCAUCCCACCAGAACGGGUCCGACGGUGAGGGACGAAAGCUGGGGGCACGAACCGGAUUAGAUACCCGGGUAGUCCCAGCCGUAAACGAUGCUCGCUAGGUGUCAGGUGCGGUGCGACCGCAUCUGGUGCCGCAGUGAAAACUUGAAGCGAGUCACCUGGGAAGUACGGUCGCAAGGCUGAAACUUAAAGGAAUUGGCGGGGGAGCACUACAACGGGUGGAGCCUGCGGUUCAAUUGGAUUCAACGCCGGG